Molecule: ribosomal RNA, 459 nt
Filed under: uncultured Nitrosospira rt16S-1
Lineage: Bacteria; Pseudomonadati; Pseudomonadota; Betaproteobacteria; Nitrosomonadales; Nitrosomonadaceae
Also listed under: 2 other names
Description: bacterial SSU rRNA
Rfam family: Bacterial small subunit ribosomal RNA
Source: RNAcentral
AGAAAAGCAGGGGAUCGCAAGACCUUGCGCUUUUAGAGCGGCCGAUGUCUGAUUAGCUAGUUGGUGAGGUAAAGGCUUACCAAGGCUUCGAUCAGUAGCUGGUCUGAGAGGACGACCAGCCACACUGGGACUGAGACACGGCCCAGACUCCUACGGGAGGCAGCAGUGGGGAAUUUUGGACAAUGGGGGAAACCCUGAUCCAGCCAUGCCGCGUGAGUGAAGAAGGCCUUCGGGUUGUAAAGCUCUUUCAGCCGGAACGAAACGGUCACGGCUAAUACCUGUGAUCACUGACGGUACCGGAAGAAGAAGCACCGGCUAACUACGUGCCAGCAGCCGCGGUAAUACGUAGGGUGCGAGCGUUAAUCGGAAUUACUGGGCGUAAAGCGUGCGCAGGCGGUUUUGUAAGUCAGAUGUGAAAUCCCCGGGCUUAACCUGGGAACUGCGUUUGAAACUACAAGG